UACGUAGGGGGCAAGCGUUGUCCGGAUUUAUUGGGCGUAAAGAGCGUGUAGGCGGUCAGGUAGGUCAGCUGUGAAAACUCCGAGGCUCAACCUCGAGACGCCGGUUGAAACCAUCUGACUAGAGUCCGGAAGAGGAGAGUGGAAUUCCACGUGUAGCGGUGAAAUGCGUAGAGAUGUGGAGGAACACCAGUGGCGAAAAGCGGCGUCUCUGGUCUGUAACUGACGCUGAGGCGACGAAAGCGUGGGGAGCAAACAGG
Molecule: ribosomal RNA, 257 nt
Filed under: uncultured bacterium
Lineage: Bacteria
Description: partial 16S ribosomal RNA
Rfam family: Bacterial small subunit ribosomal RNA
Source: RNAcentral